Non-coding RNA from Tinamus guttatus (white-throated tinamou), 178 nucleotides. Lineage: Eukaryota; Metazoa; Chordata; Aves; Tinamiformes; Tinamidae. The record is from RefSeq and is a predicted model, not a curated record.
CAGGAGCAAGCGCUGCCGGGAGAGGGCAAUUCUUAGCAGGCUGCACUUGGAGUGGAAGCUCAAAUCUGCUGUGAAACAAGUUCAGAAAAGUCUGUAACUUCUUUUCCCUGAAAACUCUGAAGAAGCUAAAUUGAGAAGAGAACGAACUGGUGAGCUGGCCCUUCCCGGGGCUCGGGGG